RNAcentral lists this ribosomal RNA (414 nucleotides) under Pantoea sp. H1-1-f. Its description in RNAcentral is "bacterial SSU rRNA". It matches the Rfam family "Bacterial small subunit ribosomal RNA", at positions 237 to 643 of the family's 1533-position model. RNAcentral also lists the same sequence under 14 other names. Lineage: Bacteria; Pseudomonadati; Pseudomonadota; Gammaproteobacteria; Enterobacterales; Erwiniaceae. The record is from RNAcentral.
GGGAUUAGCUAGUAGGUANGGUAAUGGCUUACCUAGGCGACGAUCCCUAGCUGGUCUGAGAGGAUGACCAGCCACACUGGAACUGAGACACGGUCCAGACUCCUACGGGAGGCAGCAGUGGGGAAUAUUGCACAAUGGGCGCAAGCCUGAUGCAGCCAUGCCGCGUGUAUGAAGAAGGCCUUCGGGUUGUAAAGUACUUUCAGUCAGGAGGAAGGGUGUGAAAUUAAUACUUUCAUGCAUUGACGUUACUGACAGAAGAAGCACCGGCUAACUCCGUGCCAGCAGCCGCGGUAAUACGGAGGGUGCAAGCGUUAAUCGGAAUUACUGGGCGUAAAGCGCACGCAGGCGGUUUGUUAAGUCAGAUGUGAAAUCCCCGGGCUCAACCUGGGAACUGCAUUUGAAACUGGCAAGCUU